Molecule: long non-coding RNA, 228 nt
Filed under: Eutrema salsugineum
Lineage: Eukaryota; Viridiplantae; Streptophyta; Magnoliopsida; Brassicales; Brassicaceae
Description: long non-coding RNA (ESAL_LNC000890)
Source: RNAcentral
UUUGGUUAAAGGUAUGGAACUGUCUCAAAGUGUGAGAACAGCUAUUUGAGCUAGCAAAGAGUGGUAAAAGGGAUAAGAGUGCUCAAAUAUUUUGAGGGUACCCAUGAGUUCACAAUGAAAUGCACAAGCAAUGAUAAUUAGAUUGUCAAAUUAAGGUUCUCACUUAGAUAAGGCUGGACUAUUCAAUGCUUGAUUCACUCAACAAGUUCAAAGCAUGGAUCAGUCUUG